GGACUAACGCUGGCGGCGUGCCUAACACAUGCAAGUCGAACGAUCUUUGAUUAUAGCAAUAUUAUUAAAGAGGAGUGGCGAACGGGUGAGUAACACGUAGAUAAUCUGCCUUUCAGACGGGGACAACUCAGGGAAACUUGUGCUAAUACCCGAUGAGACCACAAGAAGGGAUUUUUGUGGCCAAAGGCGGGCAGCAAUGCUCGUGCUGAAAGAUGAGUCUGCGUCCUAUCGGCUAGUUGGUGGGGUAAAUGCCUACCAAGGCUAAGACGGGUAGCCGGCCUGAGAGGGUGAACGGCCACACUGGGACUGAGACACGGCCCAGACUCCUACGGGAGGCAGCAGUGAGGAAUUUUCCGCAAUGGGCGCAAGCCUGACGGAGCGACGCCGCGUGAGGGAUGAACAGCUUUCGGGUUGUAAACCUCUUUUAUUAAGGAAAAAGAUCUAUAUGCUAAUAUCAUGUAGAUUUGAUGGUACUUAUUGAAUAAGCCCCGGCUAACUACGUGCCAGCAGCGGC
Molecule: ribosomal RNA, 514 nt
Filed under: uncultured bacterium
Lineage: Bacteria
Description: bacterial SSU rRNA
Rfam family: Bacterial small subunit ribosomal RNA
Source: RNAcentral